AUUGAACGCUGGCGGCAUGCCUUAACACAUGCAAGUCGAACGAGAACGGAUUAUAGCUUGCUAUAAUUGUCAGCUAAGUGGCGCACGGGUGAGUAAUGUAUAGGUAAUAUGCCUCUUACUAAGGGAUAACAAAUGGAAACGUUUGCUAAUACCUUAUACUCCUUAUUAACAUAAGUUAAUAAGGGAAAGAUUUAUUGGUAAGAGAUUAGCCUGUAUUGUAUCAGUUAGUUGGUGGGGUAAUGGCUUACCAAGACUAUGACACAUAACUGGUUUGAGAGGAUGAUCAGUCACACUGGAACUGAGACACGGUCCAGACUCCUACGGGAGGCAGCAGUGGGGAAUAUUGCACAAUGGACGAAGGUCUGAUGCAGCAACGCCGCGUGGAGGAUGACACAUUUCGGUGCGUAAACUCCUUUUAUAUGAGAAGAUAAUGACGGUAUUAUAUGAAUAAGCACCGGCUAACUCCGUGCCAGCCGCCGCCGUAA
Molecule: ribosomal RNA, 485 nt
Filed under: uncultured bacterium
Lineage: Bacteria
Description: partial 16S ribosomal RNA
Rfam family: Bacterial small subunit ribosomal RNA
Source: RNAcentral